RNAcentral lists this long non-coding RNA (13375 nucleotides) under Arabidopsis lyrata. RNAcentral's name for it is "long non-coding RNA (ALYR_LNC001886)". The record is from RNAcentral. Lineage: Eukaryota; Viridiplantae; Streptophyta; Magnoliopsida; Brassicales; Brassicaceae.
AAACAUAUUGAGUACAACUUCACCACUAUGACAAGUGCGCCUUAUGGUGACCACUGGCGAAACCUGCGCCGUAUCGGUACCCUCGAGAUAUUUUCUUCACACAAGCUCAAUGGCUUUUUAUCUAUCCGUAAGGAUGAGAUCCGACACUUGUUAUUGCUCCUAUCAAAAAACUCGCAACAUGUAUGUAAGCUUCUUCUACAUAUCAAAAAAAAAUUUAUAUAGCAAGAGAAUCUUAUAAGUCAUAGUUAACCUAUAUCGAUUUGUGCUAGUAACGUCACUGUAUUAUUAUCUAGGUUUAAACUUGGCCAUGUGCAUGUGCUAGAGAUGUAGACGCCAAAACAAAUAUAACAUAGGAACUCUACUAAAAUAUCUUAAUAAUCUCAGAGAAAAAAUGUAUAUACAUAUUCUAUACCAAGUAAAGAUUGGGAAGUAUAAAUAUGAAAAUUUGAGAACUAAUCUAUUUGUUUAAGUGAUUAUAAAAUCAGGGGUUUGCGAAGGUGGAGAUGAGACAAUUGUUUUAUGAUUUGACUAUCAACAACAUUCUUCGAAUGAUAGCCGGGAAACGAUAUUAUGGAGAGGGAACAGAGCAAGAUGACGUUGCGCGGCGAGUGAGCCAGUUGAUUGACGAGAUUGUGUACAGGGCUGGCGCUGGGAAUGCAGCCGAUUAUUUACCGAUUUUGCGUUGGAUUACAGAUUUUGAGAAAGGGGUCAAGGAGUUAGCGAGUCGAGUUGAUGAGUUUUUGCAGAGUCUGGUCGAUGAGAAACGUGUGGAUAAAGAAAAGGGUAACACUAUGAUGGAUCACUUACUUUUCCUCCAAGAGACUCAGCCUGAUUACUAUACAGAUGUCACUCUUAAAGGAAUCAUAAUUGUAAGUUUGAGGAAUUCAUAUACAAAAUGUAACAACACUAAUCAAACUUUAUGAUAGCUGAUUAUUGAUUUUAAUUUUACAGGUUAUGAUACUUGCCGGGACUGAAACAUUAGCAGGAACUUUAGAAUGGGCGAUGCUGAAUUUGUUGAACCAUCCAGAAGUACUAGAGAAAGCGAGGACCGAAAUCGAUACCAAAAUCGGUUUUGACCGGUUAAUAGAUGAAGCCGAUACUAAAAAUCUCCCUUAUCUCCAAUGGAUAGUGUUGGAGACCCUACGUCUUCAUCCAGCAGCUCCAACAAAUGUUCCACAUAUGACGUCAGAUGAUUGUAUGUUGGCAGGAUACGACGUUCCACGUGGUUCGAUGUUAUUGGUGAACAUAUGGGCCAUGCAUAGAGACCCGUCAGUAUGGGAAGACCCCGAAAUGUUCAAGCCAGAGAGGUUCGAAAAUCAAAAGCUUAAUCAAAAGUUGUUGUCGUUUGGGAUUGGACGAAGAGCUUGUCCUGGGGUUGGCCUAGCUCAUCGGUUACUGAGCUUGGCUCUUGGAUCGAUGGUUCAGUGUUUUGAAUGGCAGAGAAUUGGAGAAGAAUAUGUUGACACGAGAGAAGAACUUAUGGCCAUGAUGCGUCCUGCGACACCAUUGCUAGCCAUGUGUAAAGCUCGUCCCAUUGUCCAUAAGAUUCUUAAUGCUUUUGCUUGAAGUGUAACUAAAAAAAUAUGUACUAAAAAAAUUAUCAUGUCAAAAAAUCAAAUAGACAAACAUAUAACUUAUACAAAUUUCUAAAUUUUAAUAACUCGAAUUAAUUUUUUUUUUUUUUUGAGAAAUAUAGAGACUGACCGUUUACUAGGUCAGUUUUGGAGAGCCAUAGGUAAAGAGAUUAGAGAGUGAUGAUUGUUUCACAGGACAAAAGACGAUGACUUAAAAAGUCAACUCCAGUCUUCUCUCUUUUCGUUCCACCAAUAAUUUCAAUUCUCUAUUUCUCUUUUAAUCUCAUCUUCUUCUUCAAUCCAGUCUUCACAUCGACCACACAUGUUUCUUCAUCCAUUGACCUCAAAUACUUGACUUUCCCUCUUUCUCCUUCUCUGCAUCAAAGCUAUGGAGAAUUUCUGUUUUCAAAACUCUGUUUCUCUCUUUGUAUCGAUUAUGGUUCUUGUUCUUCUUCCUCGUCUCACUCUUUCUGCUACUUCGACGUACACUCGUCCUGAGAAGUUUUACGUCAACUGUGGAUCGGAUUCUAAUGUCUUUUAUGGUGGUCAGACCUUCGUUGGAGAUAAGAACUUCAGUGGUAACUCUGUUUCCUUCACCAAUAGAACUGAAGUCAUCGACAACCAAUCGUCCGUUGUGCCUGAAAUCUACCGGACGGUUAGGAUAUUCAGACGCCCUUCUUCUUACGAGUUCAAACUUGAUUCUCUUGGUCUGCACUUUGUGCGUCUCCAUUUCUCUGUUGUGUUUUCUCGGGCAGAUCUUUUAACUGCUCGGUUCACUGUCUCUGCAAUUUCUGGUUCUAAUCAUCACUUGAAAAGUUUCCCGCUUCAGAAUUUCACUGAGACCCCAAGAGUUGAAGAGUUUCUCCUGAUGAUGGACUCGCUGGAGUUCGAAAUUCGAUUAGUGCCGGAUCAUUCCUCUUUGGCUUUCGUCAACGCCAUUGAAGUGUUCCCUGCUCCUAAUGACCUCGAAAUUCAGCCAGAUUUCGACAAGAAUCUGCAUAUGAUUUACAGAUUAAACGUAGGAGGUGAGAAAAUCACACCGGAUAAUGAUACCUUGGGACGAACUUGGUCGCCUGAUGAUGAAGACUUUCUCUACCGAAAAGAUUCUGCGAGGAACAUUAAUUCAACACAAACGCCUAACUACAAUACAGCAGGGUCACUGUCAGCCACGGAAUUCACUGCUCCUGCUUUCGUCUACAAGACAGCUAAAGCAAUGAACCGCAGCUCGAAUGAGCGGGUGGGGAUGUUGACGAAUGUUACAUGGUCGUUCAAGGUCAAAAGUAACUAUAGACACUUCAUCAGGAUUCAUUUCUCUGAUAUUUUAAGUAACUUCUCAAACUCCGACUCCGAUUUCUAUCUCUAUGUAAAUGGGUACUGGCGAGUAGAUGUAAAGCCUUCAGAGCAGCCUAAGUUGGCAACUCCGUUUUUUAUCGAUGUCGUGAAUGUCUCUGAUGGUUCUGGACUCUUGAAUAUUAGUAUAGGUACUAAGGAGGCCGAUAAAGAUGCUGGUUUUCUGAAUGGUCUGGAGAUGAUGGAGUUUUUGAUUAAAUCUGGUUCUGAUUCUUCAAAUAGAAGCAGUUCCCGGGUUCAUAUCAUCGCUGGUUGUGUUUCUGCUGCUGCAUCGGCUCUGGUCUUGAGUUUGUUGUUUAUGGUAUUCUUGAAGCGGAGGAGAUCGAAGAAGACUAAGCCAGACGUUGAAGGCACUGUAUGGUCUCCUUUGCCAUUGCACAGAGGUGGAAGUUCAGACAAUAGACCUAUCUCACAAUACCACAACUCGCCAUUACGCAACCUACACUUAGGCUUAACGAUUCCCUUCACAGACAUUCUGAGCGCUACAAACAAUUUCGACGAGGAGUUGUUGAUCGGGAAAGGCGGGUUCGGAGAUGUUUACAAAGCUAUUCUUCCUGAUGGAACCAAAGCCGCUAUCAAAAGAGGCAAAACCGGCUCAGGACAAGGCAUCUUAGAGUUUCAAACCGAGAUUCAAGUCCUCUCAAGAAUCCGGCACAAACACCUCGUCUCUCUAACGGGCUACUGCGAAGAAAACUCGGAAAUGAUCCUCGUCUACGAGUUUAUGGAGAAAGGUACACUUAAAGAACAUCUAUACGGCUCGAAUCUACCUCCCUUGUCAUGGAAACAAAGACUAGAGAUCUGCAUUGGAGCAGCUAGAGGUUUACAUUAUCUCCACAGUUGCGCAGAAGGAGUAAUCAUACACAGAGACGUCAAAUCCACAAACAUACUACUAGACGAGAACACUAUAGCCAAAGUCGCCGAUUUCGGACUCUCGAAACUCACGAUUCGUAAUCAAGAUCCAACUAAUAUCAGCCUAAACAUCAAAGGAACAUUCGGUUACUUAGAUCCAGAGUAUCUCCAAACACAUAUCUUAACAGAGAAAUCUGACGUUUACGCAUUCGGAGUCGUCCUCCUCGAGGUUUUGUUAGCGAGACCAGCUCUAGAUUGUACUCUACGUUACGAAGAAGCGAAUCUAGCGGAAUGGGCGUUGUUCUGCAAAUCAGAAGGUAAAAUCGAUGAGAUCUUAGAUCCGAGUUUGAUAGGUCAAAUUGAGACGAAUUCUUUGAAGAAAUUCAUGGAGAUUGCUGAGAAAUGUUUGAAAGAGUGUGGAGAUGAGAGACCGAGUAUGGGAGAUGUGAUUUGGGAUCUUGAGUAUGUUCUUCAGCUUCAGAUGAUGACGAUUCGUAGAGAAGCUCAUGAAGAAGAUAGUACGGCGAUUGUCUCCUCUGGUGGUUCGUUGGUGGCUCCGAGGUUGAUGGUGAGUGAUUCGUUUAGCACGAACUCGUUUGUUCAGAAGGAUGAUGAAUCGAAGAACAGAUUUGGAUUUACGGAUUCGUCGGAGACUCGAGUUUUUUCGCAGUUGAAGAUCUCUGACGCAAGAUGAUAAAAUCAUUUUCAAUUGUGUGUAAAAUUAUAAAUUUCUUGAAAUGUGUCUCUGGUUCAAUUUCAAAAUUUAAAAGCCGGUUAUUUCCGGUUUAUAGAUAAUCGGAAAUAUGGAGAAUUGGAGACGUUUUCCAAGUUCACCAAAUAUUACAUUUUGGAUGUAAACAUUAUUCCGACUUGGUUGGGAUAAACUGACGAAACUUGAAAUUUAAAACUGUGGCUAUAACUUUGUCAUUUAAAAAAAAAAGAAGAUAGAAAUACAUGACAAUAUAACUAUACAUAUUAAGUAUCAUCCAAAAAAAAAAAAACAUCAUCCAUCAAAAAUUUAUAAAUUAGCGAUUUAAAUAUACUUGGAUCAUAAAAAAAUAUAAUUCGAUAAGACUAAUCAAAUUUGAAUACCAUAAAGUCAUUAAACGAAUCAUGUAACAAUAAUUCGACAAAAUGAAAAUAUAUCACGUAAAAGAAUAAUCACAUGUAUCGGGAAAAAUAAAAAUAAAAAAUCAAUCAAACUAAUAUAUAUGUCAAACCGUGUAAUAUGGACUUUGGGACACCUUGAGUAAAUAUUAGAGAGUGAUGUUUCUUCCUUAUUAUUCAAACCAAUAAUUUCAAUUCUCUAUUUUUCCUUCAAUCUCCUCUUCUUCCAUCCUCUUCACAUAAACCACAAAUGUUUCUUAAUCAAUUGACCUCAAAUACUUGACUUUCAUUAUUUACUCCUCUCUCUCCCGUCUAAGCUAUGGAGAAUCUCUGUUUUUUGAACGUUGUUUCUCUCUUUGUGAUGAUGGUGGUUAUUGUUCUUCUUCCUCAGCUCACUCUUUCUGCAUCAUCUACAUAUCCUCGUCCCGAGAAGUUUUAUGUCAACUGUGAGUCGCGGUCUAAUGUCACAUAUGGUGGUCGGACUUUCGUUGGAGAUAUGACCUUGGGUGGUAACUACGUUUUCUUCACCAGUGAAGGAACUGAAGCCAUCAACCAAUUUGUUUUGUGUUGCUCAAUUUCCAUAACUUAGCUGAAUUCUUGUACUCAAAGAUCUUGUAUAGCUGGCUAUGCUACUUGGGAUGGCGGAUCCGAAUUUAUUUUAUGAAUGUUGAUAUAUUACACGUGUUUAAUUGCAUGGGACGUGAACAUAUCUUUAGUGACGGGUGGGAUAAACUCCAUGACAACACCAAAACUUGAUCUCUCGCUUUCGUCAUUGAACAUCUUUUUUUCAUCAUCAUGCUCCACGUGAACUCUCGCUUACGUUAUAAACUAAGCUAUAACUUCUAACAACCAUGCAUGUUUCAGUUCAACACAUUUACAAGUUCUUAGAUCUAAUGGAGACUCAUUUCCUAAUUUUAUCUCUCAUCUUCUUUGUUUUCAUUUCUCUUAAACUUUUGUUUGGUAAACGGCAUAGCAAGUUUAACCUACCACCAAGUCCGGCUUGGCCCUUGCCGUUGAUUGGACACCUUCACCUCCUGAAGCUCCCGCUUCACCGCACAUUCCUCUCUUUCUCUCAAUCCUUAGGUGACGCCCCAAUUUUCUCCCUCCGCCUCGGAAACCGUCUCACGGUUGUCGUCUCAUCCUACUCCAUCGCUGAAGAAUGCUUUACAAAAAACGACAUUGUUUUCGCCAAUAGGCCAGAGUUGAUUCUCGGGAAACAUAUUGAGUACAACUCCACCACUAUGACUAGUGCGCCUUACGGUGACCACUGGCGAAACUUGCGCCGUAUCGCCACCUUGGAGAUCUUCGCGUCACAUAAGCUUAACGGCUUCUUAUAUGUCCGUAAGGAUGAGAUCCGACACUUGUUACUACGUCUCUCCAAAAACUCGCGACAUGUAUGUGAGCUUCUACAUAUCUUAAAAUUUAUCUAAAUAUAUAUAACCUAGUCAUUUGUAGUAGUGUUGCCACUCUAUCAUUACACGGGUCUAAACCCGGCAAUAUGGUAAAAAAACUCACAAUGGAAAAAAAAUAUGUUUAUACAUAGUCUUAACCAAAAAAAAAGAUUGAGAAGUAUGAAAAUGAAAAAUUUGAGAAUAAUUCAUUUUUAAAAUCUUAUUAUAAAAUCAGGAGUUUGCGAAAGUGGAGAUGAGACAUUUGCUUUUUGAGUUGACUAUCAACAACGUUUUUAGAAUGGUAGCGGGGAAACGAUUUUAUGGUGAGGGCACAGAGCAAGACGAAGUUGCGCAGCAAGUGAGACAGCUGAUGGACGAGAUUGUAACCAGCGCUGGCGCCGGGAAUGCAGCCGACUAUUUACCAAUCAUGCGUUGGAUCACAGAUUUUGAGAAACGCGUCAAGAAGUUAGCGAUUCGGAUCGAUAAGUUUUUGCAGAGUCUAGUGGAUGAGAAACGUGCUGAUAAAGAAAAGGGUACCACAAUGAUAGAUCACUUGCUUUCUCUCCAAGCAACUCAGCCUGAUUAUUAUACAGAUGUCAUUCUUAAAGGACUCAUAGUUGUAAGUAUUGCGUAAUCCAUAUACUAUCUUUAAGAACACUAAUCUAACAUUAUGAUGGUUGAUCAAUUUUGAAUUUACAGGUUAUGAUAAUUGCUGGAUCUGAAACAAUUGCAUGGACUUUAGAAUGGGCGAUGUUGAAUUUGUUGAACCAUCCAGAAGUGUUAAAGAAAGCUAGGACCGAAAUCGAUACGAAAAUCGGUUUUGACCGGUUGAUUGAUGAAGCGGAUACUAAAAAUCUCCCUUAUCUCCAAUGGAUAGUGUUGGAGACCCUACGUCUUCACCCGGCAGCUCCAACAAAUGUUCCACAUAUGACGUCAGAGGAUUGCAUGUUGGCAGGAUACGACAUUCCACGUGGAUCGAUGUUAUUGGUGAACAUAUGGGCCAUGCAUAGAGACCCGUCUAUAUGGGAAGACCCAGAAAUGUUCAAGCCAGAGAGGUUCAAAAAUGAAAAGCUUAAUCAUAAGUUGUUGUCGUUUGGGAUUGGACGACGAGCCUGUCCCGGGAAUGGCCUAGCUCAUCGGGUAGUGAGCUUGGCUCUUGGAUCGAUGGUUCAGUGUUUCGAAUGGCAGAGAAUUGGAGAAGAAUAUGUUGACAAUAAAGAAGAUGAAACUGUUGUCUUGAUGCGUCCUGUGACACCGUUGUUAGCCAUGUGUAAAGCUCGUCCCAUUGUCCAUAAGAUUCGUGAUGCUUUUGAUUGAAGUGUAACUCGCCUUUCUCUGUCUUUUGUGAAAGUUACUAAAAAAACAUGUAACAUUGUAUUCACAUAAUAAUAAUCAGAAGGUAUAAAUUGAACACAGAUGAUUAGGUAAGACAUGAAAUAGCCAACUUUCCACAAAUGAAACAUCCGCAAAUGUACAUCUGUACGCGAAAUAAAAUGUACAUCUGUACGCGAAAUAAAAUGUACGAAUCACAUUAUGUAGGGUCCAUAAUGUCUUCAAAACAGUGGAGACACUAAAAAUGAGGGAUUUUGCCAAUUAUAAAUAUUAAAUAGUAAACUAUCUAGUUUUCUAAUUACGUUUGGAAAAUUGCCUAUUUCUCAAUUUAUUAUUUUAAAAAAACCCUAGUAAAAUACAUAACAAUUGGACAGUUCAUAAUGUUGAUUUAUUACACAUGUUUCUUUGUAACUAAUUGCAUGAGACGUUACAAAACAUAUCUUUAGUGACAUACUAUAGGAAAAUUGAGUAUCCUUAGCGGCCGAAUAACGCUAUCUAACGAGACGAUAGUGGAGUAGAAAGCGCUAUAUCUACGUCCAUGAUAAUAGAUCGACAGCUUCCGAUAGCAGUUUCUGGUAAUGCUAUAUUUUGUUUACAUAUUAUAGCGUGUUUUCUUAUGCAAUGUAAUAUUAUAGUAGCGAAUAUAUUUUGUUAUUAAUUAUCAAAUUGCAGCAUUUGUUAUAUGUAAUUUAAUCAAUUAGAAUAGCAUUUAUAAUACGUAAUUUAUUCAAUUAAAAUAGCAUUUGUGUUAUGCAAUAUAUUGUGGUUUUGUUUUUGUUUUUUUUUGCACUAUACAUAAUUUUUAAUCACUACAAGAAAACACGUCAUUAGCGACGUUAUUCAGCGACUGAUAAAUUAGUCGCUGAAUUUGAGGACUGAAUUGCUACAUUUAGGCGACUGAAUGUUGCCUAAACAACAUUAGUCGCUAAUCCGUCUGCAUUUGGCGACGGAUAACAAUAGUCGUUGUAUAGUCGCCAAAUUAGGCGACUAAGUAGCUUCUAAAUAUUUAGUCUAUAAACUGGGCUACUAAUUAGCCACUUUAUAGCGACUAUAAUUUCUAAUUGGGCCUUUUAAUUGGUCUCGGUCCAUUAGAUUUACUGCGUUGGCCCAUAGUAUAAAUUCCCUAUUUCUAACCGAGGAAACCCUAAUUCCGCAUUUCUCUAACCCUAGAUCCCUAAUUCUCUCUAUCUCGACGAACCCUAACCCUAACCCUGCAAUUUCUCUCCAAUUCUCUACAAAUCUACUUCUUUUAGGUCUAAUCGAUGGCUCCUCGUGUUCGCGGUGGAAGAGGAAGCGGAAGAGGGAAGAGGGGACCGAAGUCUCCGGUGAAGCGACCCACUGUCGUCCCUACUCGACCCACAUCUUCUGGUGUAUCGAGUCGAAGACCAAGGAGCCUUCCGUCGCAGUAUGAGUUCACGCCGGCGAACCCUGAAGAUCCAAAUCAUGGGACUGAGCAUCCGCCGAAUCGUCAGCCUUCACCGCAACUGAGUCUAAGAGACUAUCCACCUCCGCUGCAGCUUUUCCAGUCGGGCGAAGGAUCUCAGCAUGCAGCUGGUGGAUCUCCUCGGGGCUCUAGAACGACUCCGUUUCGAGCAUCUGUCUCCUCUGUUCAUCGUUUAGCAUCUGGAUCUCCCCGUGCCUCUCAGUCUCCAGCUCCAGUUCAGCCUCCAGCGCCGGUUCCUUCUCCAGUGGUUAAUCAACAACGACCACCAAGAGCCUCUCUGUCUGGUCACAGUUCUCAAGCUCAGAACGUUGAAGAAGAAGAAGCUGCAUUGAAUGAAGAAGCUGAUGAUGAAACUACAUCGGAGGAUGAAGGUUUGAGGGAUUCAACACUCCCAGAAGAUGUCCUCGCGACUUUACAUGAUACGCUUGUCAUCCCAGGCCGUGAGCUCUAUACUACUCUCAUCUCUCCGACUUUAGAGCCUGGGACGACAUGGUAAGGAUUCUGAAUGUUUAUAGGAUUGUUUGUAUAGAAUUGUGUAUAGGAUUGUCUAGAAUUGUGUAUAGGAUUAGGUAUGGUUUAGGUCUGUUUGUGUUAAGGUAUGGUUUGUGUAUAGGUUUAGGUAUGGUUUAGGUCUGUUUGUGUAUAGGUUCUGGUUCUUGUUUAGGGUUUAGGUAUGGUUCUGGUUCUUGUUUAGGGUUUAGGUAUGGUUCUGUUUAGGUAUAGUUUGUGAAGAGGUUUAGGUCUGUUUGUAUUCUUGUGUAUAGAUUGUAAGUUUGUUUAGGUAUAGUUUGUAUUCUUGUGUUGUAUUGUUCUGUUUGUAUUCUUGUGUAUAGAUUGUAAGUUUGUUUAUUUGAUUGUAGGUUUGGUAAGGAUAAGGGUAAGCUAACCCGGAAGGUCACCAAGUGUUUUACUAACAAGUUUGAUGGACCAUACUACAAUUGGAGUUGUGUGCCAACUGGAAGAAGAGAAAGAUACUUUCUUGAAUUCGCUGUAAGCUUCUAUCCCUCUUCUACUACUGUAUUUUCAUAUUGUAUUUUGAUAACUAACAUCUGCUUCACUGUCCUCUUGUUUUGGUAGAAAACACACACCUGGCAUCCCUCAGUUACAGGUGUGGUUGAAGCCAAGUUCUACAAGAUCAUUGCACUGCGUAUGAAAGACAUGGUUAGUAAGGCAGGGUCAAAAAGCCCAAGAGUGAGGCCGUAUUGGAUUGAGAAAACUCUGUGGAGAGAGAUGUGUAAGUUUUGGGAUACUGAAGAAGCCCAAGCCAAGAGUUCAACCACAUCAGCAGCUAGGAUGUCUGACCGUAAUGGUCUUGGUCCUCACAAGCAUGUUUCUGGUCCAAAGUCCUUUUACAAGUGGAGCAAGAGAUGGUAAGUUACAUGUCUGUUUUAAAUACUUGUUUUGUUUAUUACUUGCUGACAUCUCUGUUACUAUAUUUCAGGAAGUUAAAUUGGGAAGACCUCCUACUAUUGGAGAAGUGUUCAUCAGAACUCAUACCAAGAAGGAUGGGACAUUUGUGGAUAGGAAGGCGCAGGAAAUCCAUGAGGCAUAUCUCAAGAACAAGGCAGCUAAGUUGGCUGCCCUGCAAGAGAAUGAUGAACAAGAUGAUGGUAAUUCGCGUCAGUCUGAGCUGUCUCAGGAGGAGGAUGAUGAGAUAUUUCUUCAGGUAGUAGUCUUGUCUUUUGCUCUGUAGUCUACUUUUAUCUGUUAAGCACUAAUGUUUUUACUUUGUUUUGCAGUCUACUGUCACAAAUGAUAGAGGGGAUUACUUUGGAAUUGGCAGCUUAGGGGUUUACAUCAACGGGAAGCGCAAGUACGCAGGAAGCAGUUCUUCUUUCAUAACCCUGCAGUCACAGCUUGAGGAUGCUAACCGCAAGAUAGAGGAACAAGCAGCUCUACAAGCAGCACGUGAAGCAGAGGCAUUGCGGGUCGCAGCAUCACAAGCAGCUGAGAUCAAGCAUUUGUCGAUGGUGAAGAAGUACCUGAGUGAAACUGACCCUAAUUUCCUGGCCUUCCUCAAUUCCCAAUCAACUCCUGCUGCGGAUGAUCAUUCAGAGGUCCAACCAAAUCCAACUCCUGCUGCUAAUGUUGAUGGUACUACUCCUGCUACUUAGCUUUCUCUCCUCUUAACUCAAAAACUUGAACUUGAUCUUUUGGUCUUGUACUUAUGGUACAAGUAUGUUUGUAUUUAUGUCUUGUGAACUUGAUAUUUUGGACUUGUACUUUUGGUCUUGUGAACUUGUAUGUUUUUAUGUUUAUUAAGAACUUGUAUGUUUUGGUCUUGUGAACUUGUAUGUUUUGUAUGUUUGGUUUUAAUUAGUAAAUGCAAACGUAAUUGGAAUCAAAAUAAGCAGGCAAAAUCCAAAAAUAAACCUCCAAUAAGUCGCAAAACGAUAGCCAUUCAGUCACUAAAACAUUCAUAAAACAGUCGCCUUGUAGUGUCUUUUUGGCGAUUCCACAGUCACCUACUAGUCGCCAAACCAGUCGCCAAAUAGUGACAUAUUAGUAGCAGAACCGUCGCCACUUUAGCGACUCAUACGCGACGCACAGGCGACUUCAAAUAGUUGUCGCAGAAUAGUCGCUAUUUAGCGACUAUUAGGCUACAAUUUAUUUUAGCGACGCAGUGUUCGGCGAUAACGUUUAUUAGUCGCUAAUUAGUGGUUAUUAUGUGUUUAGCGACUCUUUAGUUACGUUUCUUGUAGUCGCUAAAUCCAUGUUUUCUUGUAGUGAAUCCGGUUUAAAUUAAUAAAAAAUAAUACAAUUAAAUAAGAACUCUUUGACUACAUUAGUUUCAAAACCAAACCGAAAUAACUUUAUUUGUAGUGGUUGGUGGAAUAAUGAUUCCCAUGAUAACAAAAAAAUUUGAACAUCUUUUUUUCAUUAUAAUGCUCCACGUAAAGUCUCGCUUACGUUAUUAACUAAGCUAUAACUUCUAAGCCCCAUGCAUGUUUCAAUUCAACACGUAUUUAAUUGCAUGUGACUUGAACAUAACUUUAGCGACGGGUGGGAUAAUUCCAUGACAACACCAAAAUUUGAACAUUUUUUUUGCUCCAUGUGAACUCAGUUACGCUAUAAACUAAGCUAUAACUUCUAACCACCAUGCAUGUUUCAGUUCAACACAUUACGAGUUCUAAGAUCUAAUGGAGACCCAUUUCCUAAUUCUAUCUCUCGUCUUCUUCGUUUGCAUUUCUCUUACACUUUUUUUUGGUAAACGGCAAAGCAAGUUUAACCUACCACCAAGUCCGGCUAGGCCCCUGCCGUUGAUUGGACACCUUCACCUCCUGAAGAUGCCGCUUCACCGCACAUUCCUCUCUUUCUCUCAAUCCCUAGGUGACGCUCCAAUUUUCUGCCUCCGCCUCGGAAACCGUCUCAUGGUUAUUGUCUCUUCCUACUCCAUCGCUGAAGAAUGCUUUACAAAAAACGACAUUGUUUUAGCCAAUAGGCCAGAGUUCAUUGUCGGGAAACAUAUUGAGUACAACUCCACCACUAUGACAAGUGCGCCUUAUGGUGACCACUGGCGAAACCUGCGCCGCAUCUGCACCCUGGAGAUCUUUUCGUCACACAGGCUCAAUGGCUUUUUAUCUGUCCGUAAGGAUGAGAUCCGACACUUGUUACUACGUCUCUCCAAAAACUCGCGACAUGUAUGUGAGCUUCUACAUAUCUUAACAAUAUAUCCAAAUAAGCUGAUAACAGGCUAGUGAUUUGUAGUAGUGUUCCCUUUAUCAUUACAUGGGUAUUAAACAAACUCAGAAACGAAAAAAAAUGUUUAUACAUAGUCUUAACUAGGGUGGGCAUUCGGGUUCGGGUUUGGAUUUCGGGUUAAUCAAGUUUUGGGUUUUCGGUUAGGAGUGUUUAUUAUCCGUUCAGAUCGGAUUAAUUGGGUUCAGUUUGGUUCGGGUUGGUAUCGUUGGGUUCAGUUCGGUUUCUUGGAAAAAAAACUAAAAAAAGUGGUUCAAUUUUAAUAAAAUUUGGUUAAUUUUUACAAAAGACUUGGAUGAUUUUGAAAAAUAUAACUAUUUUUUUGGAUAUUUAGGUUAAUUUGGAUAUUUUUUUUUGUUAUUCACACAUUUUUGGGUAUAUAAUUAUAACUAAGUAUAAUUAAUAUUUUUGAAUAUAUAUAUUCGGGUAUACUGUUUGGUUUCCCAAACCGGUUCUCAAUUCGGAUUCUGUUUGGGUAAUUUAGCUAGGAGAGUUUAUAUCAUCCAUUCCGGUGUGACUAUUCGGUUCGGUUCCAGUUCUCGGGAAUCCCUAAUCCUAACUAAAAAAGAUUAAGAAGUAUGAAAAUGAAAACUUGAGAGUUGAUAAUUUGUUUUGUGACUAUAAUCAGG